CCCUAAGGGGCACAGCCAAUGGGCAUCAGAGGCCGCCUCCAGGCCAAUCGCGGCUCGGGACGGGUCCUGACGGACGGUGACACGCCGGCUGUGCGGCCAAUGGCGGUGCCGGGGGAGUGGCCACGCAGCCGGCCCCGGGAGCGGCGGACCGGCCAUGGCGGUUCGUUCCGCCGCCGCUGCCGGAGCGCCGCUGCCACGGGCGGUUCCUGCGGCUGCAGCGGCUGCGCGGGGCGGGGCGGGGGCCCGGGGGUGCGGCCCCGCCGGCCGGUGCCGGGCGGUCGCCGUGUUGCCCUCGGGCAGCAGGGGGGGUGCGUCCCGUUGAUCCCCCCCGCGCAGUUCCGCGGUUGAGAAUCCUCCUCAGCAACGCGCCGGGACCGCGAUCGCCGCCGGUUCCGUCCCGGGUCACCAGACUAUCGACACCUCUGGAUUGGUCACGGACCUGAUGGGAGCCGUGGGAAAACGGAAAGGGAAGGUUGGAUCCCGUGGGAAAUGGGGACAAGAAUCAAGGACCGCGCUACUGCUGAUCCUCUUCAUCACUCGUUGUGAGGAAGGUGCCUGAGGGAGAAGAGAGAACAGCCACCGAUGUCCCCCAGCGCAAGGUGGACAAUGGUUCCUGGGGCAAAGAGGUGAUCUAGGGCAUGUGGAAAGGAAAAGAUCCCGAAAACAUGACAGCCCCAAGAUGCCACAUCCAGUGUGCAGCUUCCCCCGAGCUUCCUCCCAGCUGUGGUCAGCGGCUUCUCCUUCAUUAUCAGCCCUUCCUGCCCCACUGAUUGCCCAGCUCGUGUCAGAUGGCUGGAGAAGGUGGUUCAGAAACACCGGGCAGGACAAGGCCAGCAGGCAGCUCGCUGCUCUCCUGGACAGGCCGCCACGGAGCCCUGAGAAGCCCCUGGGUCAUGUGCCGUGAUGGUCACAGCCUCGUGAUGCUUCUGGGUACCCUUGGCCUCUUGGCCACAAGGACACAUUGGUGACUUGUGGCCAACCUGAUGUCAACCAGAACUCCCAAGUCCUUCUCCGCAGAGCUGCUUUCCAGUGGGUCCACCCUCAAACUGUACUGGUACUGGACCCCCGUCUGUCCCAGGAGAUAUUCCAUGCCACUAACAUGGUGCUUAUCACCUCCUUGCACUCGUUGUCUCGACGCCGAUCUCUCCUGGCUUUCCUCCAGCUGCUGCCGUUGGCUGUGUCCUCUGUGGACCCCUUUUACCCCCUGCACUCUCCACAGACCCCAGUUACCAUUUCUGUUAUGAAGGGGAACAUCUCACUUUUCUGUGCAUGGCCAAGACGAUGAGGAAAAUUGGCAGAUUUUGGUUCUUCAAUCAAACUGGGGAGCAAAUCGACCUGCGAUCACUGUACCCUCUCCCGACUGCCCGGCUGCAGCUCACAGCUACAAAAGUGUCUGCUGGCGAGUGCUCAUACAUGUACUUCAUGGAGGACUCUGGACAGGAAAUCCCUUCCAAGCGGAGCUUUCCUCUCACCGUUGAGGUUCAGGGUAGGCUGGUCUUGUCUUACGACUCAGCUGCAAUUGGAGCUGAUACCACGUGCCUCCCUGGAGAGCGUCAUCUUGGCUGAUGGCCUUGUCCUUGGGUCACCAGUGGACACAUGGAGCUGCUCUGGCCUCUCACAAGCUUUUGUGCUCCUGGAUUGCUCUGCGAAAGCAGGAAUUUGUUGGCCUGACGGCUGUGUCAGCUCCAGGAAAACUUCCAGCAGGGUUUGGGGUAUAUUACUUGCCUUCUUACUUUGGGCAUGUGAAAAUACUUAUUUUCUGCACUUCAGUGAAUGGAAAGAAACUGUGGAAGCUACGCUGAGCUCUGAGAUCCAGGGGCUGUUUUUUCUCUGCCCUUAGACAGAGACGCAAAUGACCCCCACACCCUGUUUUGUCAUUCAAGGCUCCCUAUUUGCCUCAAUAGUAAUCAGAAAAAGAGUAAGCUGAUUUUCUAGGCUGAGUCAUGACACUGGCUUUGUGCACAGGUCCUGGUGUCAAUGCACAGCCAGUUUUUUGUAUUCUGUGUUGCAUUAUGUUGGUUUGUUGUGUAGUUUUUGUUUUUUUUCAUUUUUUUUCCAGCUGCUCCCGUGGCCCCAACUUUUUCCCUGGAUCCUCAACAGCAGGUUUAUAGAAACAGGAACUCCAUCAAGCUCCUCUGGUCCAUCCCCAGUUGUGCCUAUUUUGUGUACAAAUCUGCUCGUCCCAUUGGCUCAGAGAGAAGCCACUUGUGUGGACAAGCACAGGCACGUCACAAGAAGAGCCGGAGGCCACGAAUGCAAUUGCAAAGAGCAAGUUUUAUUUUAGUUACCUCUCUACUGGGGGAUCUCCAAAGCCACACCUAAGCUCCCAGGCAGAGGUGACACCAGCGGGGAUGCAGGCGCUGAUAAGUUUAGCCCUGCUGGAAGAUCGUUAGGCCGGCUGCGCUCGUCUGUGUUUAAAGGCUUAGAGCAGAUGCAGCCUCUUGCUGUGCUCUGCUCUUUCUCAAAACAAAGCAGGAAUCUCAGACAUGAUAAGGUACCGUAGGGUUUCCCUCAGGCCUGUGUUAUCUCACACAGAGGUUCUACUUGUCAAGCACACAAGGUCAGUAGAACAAUUAAUGUGAUGUAUGUGCUUUCUUUAUACCCCAGCUGCGGGUCACUUGAGCGUGUUUACCUUUCUCCUCCUCGCCCAAUCUUCUGCAAUUCCCAUGCAUUCCACCCUGUUGCCCAAGGGACCAUCUCUGCUGGGGCCAGAAUAGCCAGAGGUGUUCACUUGGGCGUGUAAAGUUCAGAACAGAACAAUUUACAGAGAUACCCAACAAACACAUAUACAUAUAUAAAGAGAGAAAAGGAACAAAUAUAUGUGUGCAAUGAUAGGUUGCAUCUGGCAUCCCGUCUAUCUUCUCAAGGAAUGAGAUGAGUCUUUCGGCCAGGCACUGUCAGUGGAUUGCUUCAUUUGAUGUGUCAGUCCCACAAGUAUUUAGGUGUUAUCUUCCAUUCUGACUAGUUCAUUAGCUGUCUUGAAGCAGCACUUGCCUUAAAAAAUCAGGGCAGCAUCUUCAGCCACUACCUACCCAAGGCUAAAGAACAAUGAGAAACAUUAGUGUGAAAAAAACAACCCAAACAAAACUCCUUGGCAUAAUACAUAUCUGUAGCAGAGCUAUUGCGUUACUAAAUGACAGUAAGAGAUCUGCAGCUGUUAGUCUUGUGGAGGUGUGUCCUGCAUAUUAUACUUGUUACAUAGGGUUACAAGCCAUGACGAGAAUCUCUGAUAAGUGAGGAAAACAGGGGCAUCUUCUCCUUCCAGUAAUACAUACACUGUUGCUCCAGCUCCUUCAGCUAGUAUUACUCCAGGCUUGACAACCUGGUGUGGGGUAAUUACCCACACAGACUGGAAAGCCAUGGCCUGUGCUUUCUCAGAUUGAACUUCAACAUGACGUUGGGUCUGCCACACAAGUAACACCGUUCCAAUGCUGUCUCCUCUAGACAAAGCACAAGUAGUCAUUGAAGAUACCUGAAAUACAAGAACUCGAGAGUCCGAUAUUAGCAAAGGAUGCAACAUAAGAGGAGAAGUCAGAGGACACAACCAUACACCAUUCUCAGGAAUUAUUAUGUGGACUUUCACAUCCAGAUUAAUAGGUCACAGUCCCACUUCGCAAUCCAUCGGGGUGAAUAAUUCCAUUUCCCCUGUAGUUAGUAUUUUGGAAGAAAUGCCAUCUGGAAGGA
RNA transcript from Columba livia (rock pigeon), 3684 nucleotides. RefSeq lists it as uncharacterized. The record is from RefSeq and is a predicted model, not a curated record. Lineage: Eukaryota; Metazoa; Chordata; Aves; Columbiformes; Columbidae. The transcript has 5 exons.